UUAAGCAUAUCAAUAAGCGGAGGAAAAGAAACCAACAGGGAUUGCCCUAGUAACGGCGAGUGAAGCGGCAACAGCUCAAAUUUGAAAUCUGGCGCAAGCCCGAGUUGUAAUUUGUAGAGGAUGUUUCUGGCGACGUGCCUUCCGAGUUCCCUGGAACGGGACGCCAUAGAGGGUGAGAGCCCCGUACGGUUGGAUGCCUAGCCUCUGUGAAACUCCUUCGACGAGUCGAGUAGUUUGGGAAUGCUGCUCUAAAUGGGAGGUAUACGUCUUCUAAAGCUAAAUACCGGCCAGAGACCGAUAGCGCACAAGUAGAGUGAUCGAAAGAUGAAAAGCACUUUGAAAAGAGGGUUAAAAAGUACGUGAAAUUGUUGAAAGGGAAGCGUUCAUGACCAGACUUGGGCAGGUUGAUCAUCCGUGGUUCUCCGCGGUGCACUCUGCCUGCCCAGGCCAGCAUCAGUUCGCCCCGGGGGAUAAAGGCUUUGGGAAUGUGGCUCCCUCGGGAGUGUUAUAGCCCACUGUGUAAUACCCUGGGGUGGACUGAGGUUCGCGCUCUGCAAGGAUGCUGGCGUAAUGGUCAUCAACGACCC
RNAcentral lists this ribosomal RNA (587 nucleotides) under Clonostachys rosea. Its description in RNAcentral is "eukaryotic LSU rRNA". It matches the Rfam family "Eukaryotic large subunit ribosomal RNA", at positions 34 to 650 of the family's 3401-position model. Lineage: Eukaryota; Fungi; Ascomycota; Sordariomycetes; Hypocreales; Bionectriaceae. The record is from RNAcentral.